RNAcentral lists this ribosomal RNA (881 nucleotides) under Deltaproteobacteria bacterium. Its description in RNAcentral is "bacterial SSU rRNA". It matches the Rfam family "Bacterial small subunit ribosomal RNA", at positions 1 to 853 of the family's 1533-position model. The record is from RNAcentral. Lineage: Bacteria; Pseudomonadati; Myxococcota; Myxococcia.
CAACUGGAGAGUUUGAUCCUGGCUCAGAGCGAACGCUGGCGGCGUGCCUAACACAUGCAAGUCGAGCGCGAAAGCCCCCUUCGGGGGGUGAGUAGAGCGGCGAACGGGUGAGUAACACGUGGGUAACCUGCCUCCAGGUGGGGGAUAACCACUCGAAAGGGUGGCUAAUACCCCAUAAGACCACAGGUUCUCCGGAACCAGGGGUAAAAGGUGGCGGAAACUUCGUUUCCGCUGUCGCCUGGAGAUGGGCCCGCGGCCCAUUAGCUAGUUGGUAGGGUAACGGCCUACCAAGGCGACGAUGGGUAGCUGGUCUGAGAGGAUGGCCAGCCACACUGGGACUGAAACACGGCCCAGACUCCUACGGGAGGCAGCAGUGAGGAAUAUUGCGCAAUGGGGGAAACCCUGACGCAGCGACGCCGCGUGGGUGAAGAAGGCCUUCGGGUCGUAAAACCCUGUCAGGUGGGACGAAUGCAACCCGGCGAUAACCCGGGUUGUUUGACGGUACCACCAGAGGAAGCACCGGCUAACUCCGUGCCAGCAGCCGCGGUAAUACGGAGGGUGCGAGCGUUGCUCGGAAUCACUGGGCGUAAAGCGUGUGUAGGCGGCCAGGUAAGUCGGAUGUGAAAGCCCUCGGCUCAACCGAGGAAUUGCAUCCGAUACUGCUUGGCUUGAGUACGGGAGAGGGAGGCGGAAUUCCCAGUGUAGAGGUGAAAUUCGUAGAGAUUGGGAGGAACACCAGUGGCGAAAGCGGCCUCCUGGACCGAUACUGACGCUGAGACACGAAAGCGUGGGGAGCAAACAGGAUUAGAUACCCUGGUAGUCCACGCCGUAAACGAUGAGAACUAGGUGUAGCGGGUAUUGACCCCUGCUGUGCCGAAGCU